Long non-coding RNA from Lycium ferocissimum, 872 nucleotides. RefSeq lists it as uncharacterized. Lineage: Eukaryota; Viridiplantae; Streptophyta; Magnoliopsida; Solanales; Solanaceae. The record is from RefSeq and is a predicted model, not a curated record. The transcript is spliced from 2 exons.
AGGCUCUUCUUCGUUAAUAUAUUUCUUUUUUUAGUUGUUUUAUCCAAUUAAAGAGUAAAUAAGGAGUAAAUUCAAUAAUAGUACAUUUCACAAAAAAUAAAGAGCACAAUUCUUAUAUUGGUACAAAAGUUGGGAGGAAAUUAGAUUUAAAGAAAGUUUGUAACAACCCUUAGAAAACCUAGACCCUUCCCCCUCCUAUAUAAUGAUGCUUUACCAAUACUUCUCAUUCUCAACUCAACCUACUUCGACUGAAAUGAAGGUAGUUCACAACAAUGAAGAAGACGAUGAUGAUGAUGAUGAUGAUGAUGAAACCUGUUUCCACAAUCCAGUUCAUGGAUUCUUCCAAUCAAUUGUUUCAAUGAAUCACCAAGUUUAGGCAACAAAGAAUAAGAAAUACACUUGUCCUUGCAUCUAAGGAUGAUCCCCACAUGGUUCAUUAGCAACUUGAUGUGCCUCCAGAAUUACCUCGCCUCAUGUACUAUUUAAUCAUCUUGAAACUCAAAUUCAUCAGUCAUGGCCAGGACUGCAUCACGUGUGUCAUCGACACAUAAUUCAGGUGCAGCAGAAGGGCCUCGAGAAGAUGUAGAGCAACAUCCAAUGUAAGAGCAAGCAGACUAUGAUGACGAAUAAGUCAGGACACUUCAGUAAUAAGUUUUGCUCCUUAUCCAUCUACUGCUGAAGCCACAACCAGUUUUAAUUUAUUAUCUUUCGAGGUCAAUUAUCUAUUGAUUUGCAAAAGGAAAAAAACCAAUCAAACUAAUGGUUGUUGUACUUCUCUUAUUUCCCAACUUGUUUUUUGGUUUAUGAAAGUGUCAGUUUUGUUUUCGAACUUUUAAAGGUAGAGGUAAGGCCUGUGUACAUGCUACCCUCCC